This 3384-nucleotide long non-coding RNA is filed under the name Zea mays. RNAcentral's name for it is "long non-coding RNA (ZMAY_LNC000520)". Lineage: Eukaryota; Viridiplantae; Streptophyta; Magnoliopsida; Poales; Poaceae. The record is from RNAcentral.
UAACCAACCCGUGAAUCAUUUCCUCAUCGAGGAACAUCAUUAUUAUCAUCGAACCAAAACCAUAAAUAGAACCAUUGUAUCUAAGAUCAUCUGUAUCUCUAAUCAAAGAGGAUCCCAAGGCCGCUCAUAACCGUGAGCACGUCUGAUAUAUCAGUUUCAUUACCCUCUGUAGAGGUCGCACACUUUACCCAUGAGCCGUGAUUCCCGUUUUGCCCGGGGAUCAUGACUCCCCAUUGAUCACUUCCUAGGUGGUCCGGCAGGGUAUCACUACGUAGUUUUUACAAAGAUUCCCUAGAGGUCCUAGCCGCCCGUUAGGUUUCUCCAGUUUGAUAAACACAGUACCUCUCCCCGAAGGGGGUGACUAACAAAAGCAAAACGAAAGAACCUCGGCACCCAGCCUCGGCAGAGCAAGCACUGUGCCUGGACCCCAUUGACGGCACGACGGCGAAGCAACUACACCUCUAGUUCCUCUAAUUAAUUAGCUAAGGGCCUCCCAUUUCACCCUCAUGGUUGCACUGUUAUCCCGGGUGGUCUCUCAACGAACAGGUCCUUACGGAGAGGCACUCGAGAAACUGCUCGAGUCCCCUAAAUGCCACAAGUAUAUCAUCAUAUCCAGAAUAAAAUCAUAGUAUCAUCAUUGUAUCUCAUCAUGUUCAUUGAUUAAAGUAAAGCGCUAGCAUAUAGCUAACCAUAGUAACCCAAAAGGGUAAAUCAAGGACAAGGUAAAUAGAAAGCUAGUAAAUCCUUAGGUUGUUCAUAGUAUGCGGGAUAGUGUAUUAUAAAGUAAAUGGGACAUAAUGGGUCAGAGGACACUUGCCUUCACCAAACAGAUGCUCAGGAUCUUCAGCCUCGUAGAACUCGAAGAGUUCGAUCCGUUGGUCGCCAAGCUUGACUGUCGAUUCUUCGAAGCUCGGAAAUAGAUCGCAGUCUAUUCGCGACGCGCAACGAAUACAAACAGGCACAAACAAAUAUAUACUUACAUAAGAACAUUACAUCAUACAAGAUAAAAUAUUAUCAAAACAAGCAUUAUAAAAAUGAGAGAGCACUUCUACGUUUACGCGGGGAUAAGGAACGCGACGGUCGAAGCUACGGUCGAGAAGUUAUAACGUUUACGCCACACAAGUAAUAGUCAGGACAUUCAAUUAAAAUAUAACUUAUAACUUCUAUGUAGUUUUGAUUAAAUCUACCACACUAGCAGUUAUCAAACAAAUAACUAAUAUAAUUAGCACGAGGGAUUCUAAGCGAGGCGAAUUUACGACGCAUGAAACAAUACGAUAGCGUGCAGAUGACGCGCGAACACGCGUGACAUUGCACGCGAACGACGCACGAGACAGUGUGGGUGACCGGCGCGACCGACGUGCGAACCAGCACGUUACCACGUGCGAAACAGCACGCGCGACGGGCUAAAACUAAAUAGGUGACACAUUUGUACUAAACAAAUAUUAAAUACAUAAACAGUAGUUAAGUUAAUAUUUGUCAUGUUGAUAUUUAUUAUAAAAGCCCAAGUGGAACACUACACAUUUAAUCUAGUUAGAAUAUUAAAUAUUAGUCGAGCAAACCUUAAAUAAAUUAUUUAAAAUAUGUGACCCAACAGAUUAACAUUAUUAACAUGAGUGUUCUUAAACGAAAACAAUUUAUUAUCACGUGCAAACGCCACGUGACACACGUGAUCGACACGCGGCGAGGCAAGCGACACGGGCAAAUGGCGCACGCCGCGCAUACACACGACGUGUGACAACGCGUGCAAACGGCACGUGCGACACACGCAAAACAACGCGCACGAUACUGCGCGACACACACGAGUCAACGCGACUAUGCGCGCGAACAGCGCGAUAACGCACAAACGAUGUCGCGCGCGAACAACAAACAAAUAAUUAAUGAAAAGUAUUUCAGUUGGUAUUAAUCACGUUAAUUAACAUUUACAUUUAUAAAGCACGAGUUAAAACUAUAGACUCAUUCUAAUUGAAUUGUUAUUUUAUUAACACUCGAACAAACCAAUAAUUAAUUAUUCAACUAAAACAUGCGACACGACGACCACGAGCGCCACACGCGGGAACAACGUGCGCGACAACACGCGCACCAGACGCGCGGCACGAACGCGCAAACGAACAACGGUGACGCGGAAAACAGCGCGCGACUCGCGAAAUCAGCGCGACAUGCGAAACUACUAAACUACGUCGUUUUUCUUAUAUUAACCAAGUGUUAAAUAUAACCUUCAAGUCAGCAUCAACACGUUACCAGCUAUCUACAAACGCCUAAUUAAAAUUAUAAACUAGAUUCGAUUGAGCUGUUGUUUUAAUAACUGACAACUAAACAAUUAAUCAAGUGAUUAACAUGAACGAUAUGGCGAAGUGAUGUUAUUAAAGCGCGCAAAUAACGAUUUAUCGAGCGACGACAAAGCGAGCGAGCAGCACACGCUACACACGCGAACGACGCGCGCUAAACACGAUAAAAACUAAAUAGUCGUCGCAUUUAUAUUAAACAAAUAUUAGAGAAAAACAUUUGAGUUGCUAUUAAUUAUGUCGACAUGGAUUUAUAAAGCGUAAGUUAACUACUAUAAAUUAGUUUAAUUGAAAAGUCUAAUUAAUUAACGUUAGUUAAACAAAAAUAUUAUUAAUUAUUUAAAACACACGGCAUAGUGAAACAAGGUUACCAACGCAUAGACGAUGCUCACCUUGCAACGACGGCAGACGGCCAAACAAGCUAGUGGCGAGGCACGACAACGUGCUGCGCGCAUGACGCGAAGCGACGGCGAGGCGAGCCAACGACGAACGGCGAAACGCGGAUGCGGACAGUGAACGUCACGGCCGCAAUGGGGCACCAGGAGGCGGACGACGUCGAGGCUGCAACACGGACGCACUCAAUCAUGGAGGAGAGAGGAAGCGCUGACCGAGGAUCGCGGGAAAGGGAGCAGAGCUUGCUGGCCUUUCAUCAAGCACUUGGCGAGCGUCGAGGAUGCGAGUAUUGCACCGGUCUGCAGCACCGCCGCUGACCAAGGACAAAGGGGAAAAGCGCCUGUGCCAUGGGAGAGGGGCGAGUGAUUAGGAAGUAGCGAGGUUGCAGAGUCGGACCAUGGACUCGGAUAGCUCGCGGUCAGGAGCAGCCGAGGGAGGAACCGGAGGGGGCGCCGGCUCCUAGAGCUUGCAGCGUAUUGGGGAAAACUGUAGGGGGGGGCUCACCAUAUGGGGGAUGCAGGACCGCCUAGGAGAAGGGUGUUGGAUGAGCAGAAGCGAGUGCGUUCCCUGGAGGGUUGGCGGGGUAGUGCUACAGGGCCUAAGGCGAGAGGCCAAGCAACGUGGGGGAGAUGCCGGUUUCUCUGAUCGUGCAGCAUGCACUAAUUGGAGACGGUUGUGGAGAGGGAAGAGUGGAGGAAAUGACACAUGG